GACGAACGCUGGCGGCGUGCUUAACACAUGCAAGUCGAGCGGUAAGGCCCUUUCGGGGGUACGACGAGCGGCGAACGGGUGAGUAACACGUGGGUGACCUGCCCUCCAGCUCUGGGAUAAGCCUGGGAAACCGGGUCUAAUACCGGAUAUGACUCCAUGACGCAUGUUGUGGGGUGGAAAGCCUUGUGCGGCUGAGGAUGGGCCCGCGGCCUAUCAGCUUGUUGGUGGGGUGAGG
Molecule: ribosomal RNA, 235 nt
Filed under: uncultured bacterium
Lineage: Bacteria
Description: partial 16S ribosomal RNA
Rfam family: Bacterial small subunit ribosomal RNA
Source: RNAcentral